GAUUCGGAACCCUCCAUCGGCGCUGCUCCGUCCAUGCACUCAGUGGUCUCUGUCUCGGCGUGCCCUCCUACUCCCUCAGUGGUCUCUGUCUCGCAAACCCUCGUUGGAUUCGGAACCUCAAUCGUUGCUCACUCUAUUUCGCAAACCCUCAAUCGCCGAUCCUCCCUCCGUGGUUCAGCACCCGUCGCGUUGCCGUCUCCCUCUCUGAAAUCGUCGCGUCGCCGUCUCCCUCUCCCUCACUCGUCGCACCUUCGUCAGCCAUGUUCAACGUUCGCAGUGCCGUGCUGUGGUAGUGCUCAGCUACUGAUAUGUGGUGCUCAUUCUUUGAGUUUAUUCUUUGCUGAAUCUCGUUUGGCAGAGAAUACCUCUAGAUUUUUUGCAAGGUGACAAAUUUAGAGCAGCAACAGAUAAUUACAUUAGGCCUCUCCUAACUAAGGGAGUUCCAUCUCUUUUCUCUGAUCUUUCGUCUUUGUAUAAUCAGCCUGGGAAGGCAGACAUUUUGGAACAACUUAUUCUUGUAUUUUUUUUCACAGCGCUCUUCAAGCUAAGAGGUAAUUUGUAAAGGAGGAAUUCAAGAAAUUAUUGUAGCAUUUAUACUGAGCAUCGCAUCUACUAAAAUAAAUAAAUAUGUCAAAGGGAUUUGAGAUUCAUCAAGAGAAUAAUGAAGGAAAUGGCGGCAAGAGUAGUAAUGAUAAUGAGGGUGAGGAAAAUUCAUUUGACAUAAAUGAAGGAGUGGCUAUGAGUGAUGAUGGGGAAU
This is a long non-coding RNA of Arachis duranensis, 757 nucleotides long. RefSeq lists it as uncharacterized. NCBI's taxonomy places the organism in Eukaryota, Viridiplantae, Streptophyta, Magnoliopsida, Fabales, Fabaceae. The transcript has 5 exons. The record is from RefSeq and is a predicted model, not a curated record.